GAUGAACGCUGGCGGCGUGCCUAACACAUGCAAGUCGAGCGAUUCUCUUCGGAGAAGAGCGGCGGACGGGUGAGUAACGCGUGAGUAACCUGCCCUGUACACACGGAUAACAUACCGAAAGGUAUGCUAAUACGAGAUAAUAUGCUUUUAUCGCAUGGUAGAAGUAUCAAAAGCUCCGGCGGUACAGGAUGGACCCGCGUCUGAUUAGCUAGUUGGUAAGGUAACGGCUUACCAAGGCGACGAUCAGUAGCCGACCUGAGAGGGUGAUCGGCCACAUUGGAACUGAGACACGGUCCAAACUCCUACGGGAGGCAGCAGUGGGGAAUAUUGCACAAUGGGCGAAAGCCUGAUGCAGCAACGCCGCGUGAGCGAUGAAGGCCUUCGGGUC
This 388-nucleotide ribosomal RNA is filed under the name uncultured bacterium. RNAcentral describes it as "bacterial SSU rRNA". It matches the Rfam family "Bacterial small subunit ribosomal RNA", at positions 28 to 424 of the family's 1533-position model. The record is from RNAcentral.